Drosophila melanogaster (fruit fly) is the source of this 540-nucleotide non-coding RNA. NCBI's taxonomy places the organism in Eukaryota, Metazoa, Arthropoda, Insecta, Diptera, Drosophilidae. The record is from Ensembl.
AGAAGACCCUAUUUUGUUUGUCGAUUAAUUAUGCUGCCCCCCAAGAAAUGAUUGAGCACGUCUAAAAAUAAGUCGGAUAUCAGGGAGAAAUCCCAUAAAUUUUUGGGUUACCCGACGCAAUUACAACAAAAGUGGAUGCCACAUGCCCACGCUUCAAAAGCGCAACAACAAGAGCGAUAAAUAAAAACAACGAUCGACAACAAACAAACAACGAAUAACGAACAACAAAGUGAAAAGUGCGUUGUACAUAAACGAAAUCGAAACGAAACGAAUAAUAAAUGAGAGGAAGAAGGAACGACAAUACUUUAUAUAGUUGAAUGACUGAACCAACCCGUCAACCACACCAACGACGAACAAAUUAACACACAAAAUACUUAUGCGCAAUAACAACAACAAUACCAAUACCAAUACCAACACCAACAACAACAACAACUUGCCCUCUUCACCAACAAAAUUAUCUUAAAAACACCAAACAAGCUGAAAGAAAAAGGAAAUAUGGAAAACACAAGCCAACAAAAAAUCUGAAAAUAAAAAUACAUU